AACGAACGCUGGCGGCAUGCCUAACACAUGCAAGUCGAACGAGACCUUCGGGUCUAGUGGCGCACGGGUUCGUAACGCGUGGGAACCUUCCCUUAGGUUCGGCAUAACUCCCCGAAUGGGGUGCUAAUACCGGAUAAUGUCUUCGGACCAAAGAUUUAUCGCCUUUGGAUGGGCCCGCGUUGGAUUAGCUAGUUGGUAGGGUAAAAGCCUACCAAGGCGACGAUCCAUAGCUGGUCUGAGAGGAUGAUCAGCCACACUGGGACUGAGACACGGCCCAGACUCCUACGGGAGGCAGCAGUGGGGAAUAUUGGACAAUGGGCGAAAGGCUGAUCCAGCAAUGACGCGUGAGUGAUGAAGGCCUUAGGGUUGUAAAGCUCGUUUACACGGGAUGAUAAUGACAGUACCGGGAGAAUAAGCUCCGGCUAACUCCGUG
This 433-nucleotide ribosomal RNA is filed under the name uncultured bacterium. RNAcentral's name for it is "partial 16S ribosomal RNA". It matches the Rfam family "Bacterial small subunit ribosomal RNA", at positions 29 to 507 of the family's 1533-position model. The record is from RNAcentral.